CCUACGGGGAGCAGCAGUGGGGAAUAUUGGGCAAUGGGCGCAAGCCUGACCCAGCAACGCCGCGUGAAGGAAGAAGGCUUUCGGGUUGUAAACUUCUUUUGUCAGGGAAGAGUAGAAGACGGUACCUGACGAAUCAGCCACGGCUAACUACGUGCCAGCAGCCGCGGUAAUACGUAGGUGGCAAGCGUUGUCCGGAUUUACUGGGUGUAAAGGGCGUGUAGCCGGGUUGACAAGUCAGAUGUGAAAUCCUGCGGCUUAACCGCAGAACUGCAUUUGAAACUGUUGAUCUUGAGUACUGGAGAGGCAGACGGAAUUCCUAGUGUAGCGGUGAAAUGCGUAGAUAUUAGGAGGAACACCAGUGGCGAAGGCGGUCUGCUGGACAGCAACUGACGGUGAGGCGCGAAAGCGUGGGGAGCAAACAGGAUUAGAUACCCUAGCAGUC
Molecule: ribosomal RNA, 442 nt
Filed under: uncultured bacterium
Lineage: Bacteria
Description: partial 16S ribosomal RNA
Rfam family: Bacterial small subunit ribosomal RNA
Source: RNAcentral